CGCUGUGAAGAUGCAGUGUACCCGCGGCAAGACGGAAAGACCCCGUGAACCUUUACUAUAGCUUGACACUGAACAUUGAGCCUUGAUGUGUAGGAUAGGUGGGAGGCUUUGAAGUGUGGACGCCAGUCUGCGUGGAGCCGACCUUGAAAUACCACCCUUUAAUGUUUGAUGUUCUAACGUGGACCCGUAAUCCGGGUUGCGGACAGUGUCUGGUGGGUAGUUUGACUGGGGCGGUCUCCUCCUAAAGAGUAACGGAGGAGCACGAAGGUUGGCUAAUCCUGGUCGGACAUCAGGAGGUUAGUGCAAUGGCAUAAGCCAGCUUGACUGCGAGCGUGACGGCGCGAGCAGGUGCGAAAGCAGGUCAUAGUGAUCCGGUGGUUCUGAAUGGAAGGGCCAUCGCUCAACGGAUAAAAGGUACUCCGGGGAUAACAGGCUGAUACCGCCCAAGAGUUCAUAUCGACGGCGGUGUUUGGCACCUCGAUGUCGGCUCAUCACAUCCUGGGGCUGAAGUAGGUCCCAAGGGUAUGGCUGUUCGCCAUUUAAAGUGGUACGCGAGCUGGGUUUAGAACGUCGUGAGACAGUUCGGUCCCUAUCUGCCGUGGGCGCUGGAGAACUGAGGGGGGCUGCUCCUAGUACGAGAGGACCGGAGUGGACGCAUCACUGGUGUUCGGGUUGUCAUGCCAAUGGCACUGCCCGGUAGCUAAAUGCGGAAGAGAUAAGUGCUGAAAGCAUCUAAGCACGAAACUUGCCCCGA
Molecule: ribosomal RNA, 754 nt
Filed under: Salmonella enterica subsp. enterica serovar Muenchen
Lineage: Bacteria; Pseudomonadati; Pseudomonadota; Gammaproteobacteria; Enterobacterales; Enterobacteriaceae
Description: partial 23S ribosomal RNA
Rfam family: Bacterial large subunit ribosomal RNA
Source: RNAcentral